This 608-nucleotide transfer RNA is filed under the name uncultured Prochlorococcus sp. Its description in RNAcentral is "partial contains 16S ribosomal RNA, 16S-23S ribosomal RNA intergenic spacer, and 23S ribosomal RNA". The stretch from base 225 to 297 matches the Rfam family "tRNA". The record is from RNAcentral. Lineage: Bacteria; Bacillati; Cyanobacteriota; Cyanophyceae; Synechococcales; Prochlorococcaceae.
UGGAUCACCUCCUAACAGGGAGACAACAAAAUGUUAAAUAUUAAUUUUGUCACCUUAGGUCGAUCGGUACCUCACAUUCUUAACUUAUUAAGGAUUUUAUUUCCUAAGUUUUUUCUAGGUCACACCCAUCACUUUCCUGGGCCAUUAGCUCAGGUGGUUAGAGCGCACCCCUGAUAAGGGUGAGGUCCCUGGUUCAAGUCCAGGAUGGCCCAUAUCUCUAUGUUGGGGGUAUAGCUCAGUUGGUAGAGCGCCUGCUUUGCAAGCAGGAUGUCAGCGGUUCGAGUCCGCUUACCUCCACUGAUUACCACCUCUUCCAUAAUUUUUAGAAGGAAAUGUUUUGAGAUGUGAUCAAAUUCUGAACGAAUCUAGCUUCCUAAUUACCUUUAUUAAGAUGCUGGACUCAUUGAAUUAAUUUCAUUGUUUUCAGAGAACCUUGACAACUGCAUAGAUUAUUUUUAAAGACAAUAAGCAUCUUUAAUGAUGCAGAUUUAUUAUUUGUGCGAAUGCAUUAAUAACAAUUCUAUUAAGCUGAUGCUUCAAUUUUGAAGUUAUUGGUCAAGCUACAAAGGGCUCACGGAGGAUACCUAGGCACACAGAGGCGAUGAAGG